Molecule: microRNA precursor, 102 nt
Filed under: Oikopleura dioica
Lineage: Eukaryota; Metazoa; Chordata; Appendicularia; Copelata; Oikopleuridae
Description: microRNA odi-mir-1474 precursor
Source: miRBase by way of RNAcentral
AAUGCAAUUGAAAAAUGUCAGGACUGAGGUUGUGCUUGAGCUUUAAUUGAGCAUAAUCACGCUCUUGAUUUUUGUCAUUGUAAAAGCUCGACGAGUAAACCC